This 306-nucleotide ribosomal RNA is filed under the name Triticum aestivum (bread wheat). RNAcentral's name for it is "partial small subunit ribosomal RNA". Lineage: Eukaryota; Viridiplantae; Streptophyta; Magnoliopsida; Poales; Poaceae. The record is from RNAcentral.
AUGCAGAUGGAAGAUCUGGGGAAGGAGGAGGGUGAUGGCUGUGGUCCGUCGCCAUCGCCAGAGAGGAGCUUCGAUCCUGAGCACCGGAGGGAGGAGGUCAGGGGCGUCACUUCGGUCGACGGCACCUGUUGUUCACUCGUAUCGCUCCAGACGGGGGUUUUCUUUCUGAUCUCUGGGGUCGUGGCGUUUCUUCCCGUGGAAACGACGUGGGUCGGGCAGGGCUACCUCCCGUACAGAUGCAUCCAAAUGUCACGGUGGGUCUCCCGGGGCCAACUCAGCCCGAGGUUCUCUGGCCCGGGGAAAUAG